RNAcentral lists this long non-coding RNA (2379 nucleotides) under Nicotiana tabacum (common tobacco). RNAcentral's name for it is "long non-coding RNA (NTAB_LNC015627)". Lineage: Eukaryota; Viridiplantae; Streptophyta; Magnoliopsida; Solanales; Solanaceae. The record is from RNAcentral.
UUAUAACAAUCUUGUAUCAUAAGAGCUAUUAUCCAAACAUUGUAUAAUUCUUUAUUGCCUCCACUGUAUUCAUAAGCAUUGUAAAUUCAAACUAAAUUUAAAAGCAAUGUAAAGACUAAGUUUUGACAUCUAAUGUACGAAUUAAGGAUCCCUGUUGAGUAUAAAGAGUCAAGUGACAACACAGAAUAAGAUAAUCCCUAAGCUUAUAUAAUAAGAACAUUUGAUGUAUACCACUGAUUGUAUAGUCUAAGGGUCGUGGAAAUUAGGAAAAUGAGGAACAUUGAAGUUUAAAAUGUAAGAUUGCAACUUUACCAUUGAACAAUCAUUCAACUGGUUUACAAAUAUUGGUUAUAUAAGACUCCAUAAGGACUGAGGACCAAGCUUUUAGCUUAAAAAUGCAAGAUAUGUCUUUCUUAUUCUAAAAACAUCCUUCGCCACUGAUAGAAAAUGAAGAUUCAAGCGACAACAGAUAAUAAGAAAUACUUGAUGUAGCGCCAUGCUCGUAUCGUCUGAGGGUAAGUAUAAAUAGCCAGACUCAGUAUUUUGGUGCUCAAAAACCUUUACAACAGUCGAGUCAACUAAUCAAAAUCUUCAAAGAAUUAGAUAACAAAUGCAAAAGCAAACAGCAAUCCUCUUACUGUUCUGUAAAUUUUCUCAAUUAUAAGUAGCACCUUGUUCUGUUUAACCAAGUUCAGAAAAACAGAGAAGACAAUUAAAUGUAUCCUACAAAUUUAAACAUGUCACUGCCAUCUCUCCAAAACUAUGGCCUGCUAUUUUAGGGCAAAUAUCAUACAGGUCUUAUGCAAAAAAAGGCAAAAAAAAUGUUCAUGAUUAUACUUUUCCAUAUAACCUUUUCUAAGAAGCAAUUAGUGCCACUUUAAUGUUAUUUUCAAAUCAGCAGAUGCCACACCCUAGCUCCAUUCUAUUAUAGUACUAGGGUUCCACCAUUAGAGUGGAAGUUCAUGGAAAUUAGGCAAAUGCAACAGGGCAGACAGUAACAACACAUAAAGCUAAGGAACAUGAUUGUAGUUUUAUAAAAUGUGAUCGAUGUAUUUCUUAUUCACAAAACAUCCUUUGCCGCUGAUUUAACAUGAAUAGUCAAGUCGCAACAGGUAAUAAGAAAGCCCUUAAUGUAGCACCAUGCUCGUAUAGUCUGACGAUAGUAACGACAGACCAUGUAUUUUGGUGCUCAAAUCCUUCCCAUUAGUCAGAUCAAAACUUCCAACUGAAAAUACCCAAAAAAACCCUAAACAAAGUUUAACUUGUUUUUCCAACUAAGUAGAUAAUUACAGUAGGACAGCAUUGUAUUCAUAUUUAUAUAAUUCGAGACACUCCAACCAUAUCAUCAUAACAAAUACUGAUGAUCAAUGAGCAAUCACUUUGGCAAUCCCAAGGAAGGUCCUAACUAAAUGAGGUUGUAAGGAGCAUUAUGUUAAAGCUAAAAUAGAUACAAUGUACUCAUAUUACAAUUUAUACACCCAAGACAGCUUAAUAAUAUUCUCUCUAUUCUUUUUAUGAGGAAAAGUAAGGUAUUCUCAUUAAUAUCAGCACAACAUAUCGAGACCACUUAGUAAAAUGUAUAACAAGAUUAACAAAAAUAUCACUCUAACUAGCAUCAAUCAGAGAACUUUGAAGGCAUAAAAUAUGUUUCUUCAACAUAGAAUUUCAGCUAAUAGUUCCUCAUCAUUUUGCUUUGCCAAGUUUAAAUAAAUCUGCUCUAAAAUAAAGAAAUAUGCAAACAAGUAUUUCGAAUAACUAACCAGCUCCCUCCAUUCAAUUUAACUGUUUGACUUUAGUCAAAAUCACUAAAUUUGACAAACAAAACUACUCAAUAUUCCACUUAAUACUUUACAAUUUUUUUGGUAGAACUAUAAUAGUUACCUAUUGGGGGGGGGGGGGAAUUGAGCAAUGCAAUCAGAGAACUUUGAAGGCUUAAUAUGCAAAUUCAACAUACAAUUCAGCUUAUAGAUUCUCAUCAUUUUGCUUGCAUAUUUUAAAUUCAACAAAAACAAAAAAUUUAAACUAUAACAAACUUUUUUUUGGCAAAAUAAAGCUGAAUAAAUGGCUAAAUUAUUCAGCCAAAAGUUUUGUCAAAAAAAUUAGCUUUGCACCAGAAAGUACCUUAGCUCGUAUUUUCUCUGCAAUAACAAACUUUAUAUUGCAAAGGGCUAUUUGGUGCACACUAUAUUCCACGCACUACUCUGUCUCUGUGUGUGUGUGUGUGUUUUGUGUGUGUGUGUGUGUGUGUGUGUGUGUGUGUGUGGAAAUUACAAGCACUUUACUACAAUACACAUAAUUCUUAUGCUCUAUUUUUUUCUAAGUUCUUUCGACAUUUGUGAUUGCUGGAAGCCAUGGCUGCGAGCUCUUUGAACGUUGACG